GUACGGCAGGGGGCUGCAGGCGCCGCUCGCGCCCAGUCAGCCGCCCUCAUGAGGGCUGCCGGCUCCUGGCGGCUCCCUCGGGUACCUCGAGUACCUCCACGCAGGAGAACCGCCGUCUGCCACCAUCCCCAGCCCCGCUGCAGCAUGGGACUGCGUCGGUGCCGAUCUCAGACUGUUCAACCUGCCGCUGAGCUGCUCCUCUGGCAUUUUGAUGGUCGUCUUGGUCUUGUGAAGUCUGUCCUUCUAUUUAAAGGAGGGCUGACUAGCCUGUGGCUCAUGCGCCUUUUGUGGCUCAUGUGCACCUCACUGACUGGCACUGUGUCUCAGAGAUGUGUGGAUGCAGAGCUGCUGCCCAACUUCAUUGCUCCUGAGGAGUUAUCCCACACUGGGGAGGUGAGACUGUUGAGGAUGUAGCAUCAGCUAGAAAGUGAACCCUUUCAGAGUUGUUCCUUUCUCUUGGUUUCGUGGCCAUGUUUGUGUCUGAUGUCUUGUGGCUUGUAGUGGCACAGUGAUUUUGACAUGAAGCUUGUAGCAUUAGCCAGGUUGGCCACUCCUUAUUUUAAUCCUAAACAUAAAAGCAGCCCAAAAGUCCUUGAAGCAUGUCUUACCAGCAGUUAAGCAUUUAGAAGGUUUGUGAAUACAUUCUUGAAAUAUUUGUAUGGAUUUAUUUUUUUUUAAUUCACUUAAAGACUUGUACAAGUAGACCUUUCUUCAUCAUCUUCCUUUUGUAUGUGGGCAGCUGUUACACUACUAUUCAGUACAGGAAUUAUCAUUAUUUCUAGUGAGGAAAUUUUGCAAAUUCUAGCAAAUUUUGCAAAUUCUAGCAAAUGUCAAAGCCAGCAUACCUUUAUGCUUGAAUAAAUGUCCAUAUUACCAGCUUAUAUUGGUGUCGCCAUUUCUAUAGAAGUCAUCACUGGAAAUAAAUUUGUCUGAACCAAUAAAAAUAAUUUCACAACAUCCAAGUACCGGGAAUUUGGGUUGCAUAAUGGUUUUGCACAGCCUCAGUUUUCCAUUUAGAAAUGCUGAAAAUCUAAGUUUGCACUAUUUAGAUACAAGUGGAAUUUCCAUUCAAAAUAAACAACUAUUUUGUUGGAAAAGAAACUUAACUGAAAAGUUUUCAUCCCAAUAACAGUGUUAUAUUAUAUUAAAGAAAUAAACAGCUCCUGUUUUCUUCUGUGUAAUUUAUCUGCAGGUGAUAUAUAAGGUUGAAAAGUGGCUGAUUCAGGAAAAACUGAUAAGCAUCAUUCUUGCCAUGAUAUCCAUCUCUGGCAGCUUGCUCUGAGAGGAAGAUGCCUCUCUGUUGUCUUUUUCCCUUUCAUUUUCUCUUUUCCUUCCUCUUACAUGUAGCUACCUUUUAUAAAUAAGAAAUGAAGUUGCUUUUCUUGCAACUGCUUUUGAUGUAGGUUAUAGGAAAUUUCUGAAAGUAUGUAUUUUUAUCUCUUUUCAUUGUCUUACACUAAAGGCAAAGUCACAUUCAAAACCUCCAAAGCAAAACUAGGAGACAGAGACAACUACUUAGGCAAUAUGUUUGUUAGUUUUUUUUUUACUUAGAUGGAAACAAGUUCAUAAAUCCUUAACUAUCCCUGCAGACUCUUGUUUACAAUGAAAAAUAAGGGUCUCUCUGACAGUGCAUCCUACUUUCAAAACAUCUUUUCUCCUAUUCUUUUUCUAAGCCACAAAGAUACAAGUUUGUAUGGUAGGAAUGAGACUUUAUAAGGCAGAUAUUGGACUUCAGUGCUCAUCCUCUAGCAAAAAUCAGCAUUAAUUGGAAAUGCAUAGCCUGCCUGGUACUUUGCAUACUCUAAUAGAACUGCAUUUGAAUUGUAUUGAUGUAAACUUUGUCAUUCACAGAUGUCUAAAAAAAAAAAAGUGAUUGAUUGAAAGGGUAGUUUCCUACAGAGGUACACUGAUAAUGAAGCACAUGAAAAGUCUGCCCUUGAAAUUGUGGGUCUGUCAUCUCAAAAUGUACCUAUUUAAAUACAUUUUCUUUUACGUCACUGAAUGCUUACGAAAGACUCAUGUUUCAUCUUUGCCCCUUCUUUGAAGUUGAAAGCAAAACUCUCCAUCUGAUGUAGAACCUGAAUAAUUUUAGCUGAGAGAGCCAUUCUAUUCCUUGUUUCUCUGUUAUUGCUCUCAUGACGGCAUGCAGAAGGUGAUGUGAGGACAGAGAAGCUCUCCCAAACUACUCUCAAAGGUAGGUGUGUGCUGCAGACGGAUUGCUUCUCUAGUUACAUUGUGUUAUGUCAACAAUGAUGCACAUAUCACAAAAUGUUAAGUAAUUUUAUAGCCCUUGUCAGAACUGUACAUAAAAUGAAAGCAGUGCAGAAGAGAGGUGCUCAUUCUGUCAAAUGAACAAAGCCACCUAAAAAUUCUAAUUAUAUUUUAAAGUAGCUUAAUUUGCCUUUGCCACCCCAUCAGCAUAUUAAUCUCUGGAGGAGAAGGAAUGGAAUGGAAGAUCUGUAUAGCAGCAGAACUAUUGAUGUGAUGGACAGGAGCCAUGAAGUCACUUAAAUGGCUACCUGUAAUCGAAGUUAGCCAGCUGGAUGUGAAUAUGUAAGACUGUGUUCUUCACCACUAACAUCUUUAAAGAUGUGAGAGUGACUGCAAGCUCACAUGCAUCUCCUUUUGACAUCAUUUAUUUUAUUGAUGGAGUGAAGAAUUCAUCAGACAUAUCCUCUGCGCAAAGGGUAACUGCUGAUUUUAGAGUUUAUAAAUGUGGUGGUUUUUUUUGGUUUGCUUUAUAUUUGUCUUUUUAUAUUUGUCUAUUUAUAUUUAUAUAUUUGUAUUUGUCUACUGAAGCCAAGCCGCAGCCUAUUAAAUCACCUUUACAGGUGAAGAAAUUCCUAGCUUUAACAAGGAAGGACUACAGCUGAUGUCAUUGAUUAACACUUUAAUAUCGUCGCACAUCCUGUCCUGUCUUUCCACUGUAGAGAUGGGGAAUUAUGUACCAAAACUGUUGUGUGCUUGGAGCAUCCCCACUGAGAUUGUAGGUUGUGGUAUAAAAUGAUAGCAGUGCACUGUGUGAGAAAAAGAUUGCAUUCAAUGGUUAUCAUGAGACAACAGUGAACAAUGAAAGAAAGGUGAGCUGGUAACUCUCUAUAUACCACACAGCCAAGAAAAGUCUGUUUUGGGUUCUUCAUUUGUGAGGUACUCUGAUACAGCAGAAAGAUAACACAUCUUCUCUAGAUAUAACUUCACAGAGUAAAAAGCACUACAGAGUUACUGACACCACAAACAUUUUCUUUGAAGAUAAAUGAUUAAAACACAGAUAUGAAAUAAGGAAUGUGAUAGCUUUUUUCAGUCAUUAAAAUGGUAUUUUUUAUAUAACUCAAGGGUAUAAAUAAAUUAGGAAGUAGUCAAAUGCAUCUAAUAAAAAACACAGAGUAUAGAUUAAAGAAAUAAGAAAACUCCUUGAUAAAAACAAGUAUACAGACAGAGAAAUAUCUCCCUAGGAAAUAAGUGGAACCCCAAUGAGGCACAUUAGAGGCCAGAAUGCAUAAAGCACUAACAUAGUGGUACAAGGGUUAAAUCAGGAGAGGUUGUAGGUGUCAUGAACAUAAAUGGUCUGAAUAUCUUCAAUAAAUUAUGUGCUGAAAUUUUUCACUUCAGAUUCAAGUGAUUUUCUGAGUUUUGCUUAACCCAGAAUAGCUUAAGGGAAAAAUGAAGAAGGCAAUGCCUUCUAGUUACAGUUUUAACUUUGGAAAUUUAACCUUACCUAUACCAGAUUUUGUCCAUGUUUUAUUUUGUCUUCUAGAACAAAACAUUUUACUUAAGGUUCAAUCAAAACAUUUCUUCUUUGCAAUGUUUUACUCAGUAUGUUUUUCUUGAACUGAAGGAUGAUUUCGGGAGAGAAUGGCCAGUGUUAUUAGACUGGUUUGUUUUGUGUGAUACACACUGAAUUUGUGAUUUCCCCAAUGGAGAAAAAUAUUGUUUUAUAUAAAUCCCAAAUACUUACUAAUUUUAGUGAGUGAUUCAGACAGUUAAUGAAAUGCAGUUCUAUUUCAGACCAUUUCUUUAUAUCACUAAUCUAUGUUUUAAUUUUGUGGUAUUUUCCUUCUCUUUCUUGCUCGUUACUCAGUGUUUGCCUUUCAGACAUCAGCUCUCCUCCAUUAGUGCUCCCUCUCUCACAUUCCAGUGUUACACUACUAUGUAACUUUGCUUUCCCAAAAGCUUAGAAAGAAAUGUCAGUUGCUUUUGCCAUCUUCCCUUUUAGAGGGAAAAAAAAUCCGUGGAAAACUAUUUUAGAAAGACAUUUUCAUAGAAUGGACUGGGUUUGGGGAAGGAAUAAACUGUUCCAAAUUCCUCUGUAAACUACUAAAUACUCUUUAUUUUUGCUGACGUGUCCAUUUGCAGUUGCUGACCUGGAAGUGACAGCUCCUAAUUUCAAGCCUUAAGGUGUUCUCUCUGAAUCCUCAGCUGCAAUGGCUUGCUGACAGAGAGAGAGAGGACAGAGCACAGGAGGCCCUGAGUAGUGAAAUUUUCAUCAGGAAAAUGGAGGUGGCUCAUCAGCAUGCUGUCCCACCAUGCAUCCUAGGAGGAACCUUCCAGAACUGUUUCACAUGUAGGUUCUCAGACACCUAUAAUCAGUGGGAACAGAGGAGUGGGAGUUUCAACACUGUACGUGAUCUGCACCAUAUUGUUAUUGCUUUGACAGGUGCUUCAAGUGGAAAUAGUUUGGGACAUUAUCACUGCAAAUGAUGCAAGUCUGAAGUUCAUCUGGCUGGUUAACAGUGCAGGAUGAUAGCUUCUGGCAGUUUCUCACCAUGUUUCUCCAAGCACAGAGGAUUUGAACUGUGAUAAACGCUGGAAAACAUCAAACAGCUGUCAGUUGUAGUGUUAAAUCCUUUCUUGUGGAUGAAGACAACUUAAAGCGAGACAUAUUGUUCAAAAGGAAUGGAAAAUGGAGACUUGUUUGUAAUCAAGAAAAGGAAUGGAAAACGGAAACUGUUAAGUCAUUGUAAUAAAUGGCUCAGUCUUCAAAAUAGGACUAUAAUCAAAGUUAACAAUUCAUUAAAGGAACAGAGUGAGCUGUGUGCAAACAGAUUAAUGUACAGAAAAGCCUGUUGGAACUACAAGGAUCAACCACGUAAGUUGCAAGGAAAGGGGAAAGCAGUACUAGCCGUUGAAAGGUUGGAUAAAAAACACUGAAGACCUACAAAGCAAAAAAAUAUGAAUAAGUUGCUGAAAUGGCUGCCUUGUUGCUUAAAAUAUGUGAAAAUAGAGGAUGGUGAAUGCCUUUUUAGGAGCAUUUGAUCCUCUUUUUCUAUAUGCUCACCUUCUGUCAUGGUAUUUAUCUUACUUCCAAAAAAGAGAGGGAAGAAAACAACCAAGUUGCUUGCUGAGUGUUUAUUGUGCAUUGCAGCUACACAUUAUGCUAACAAGGCUCAAAGGAUAUAAGAAAAUAUCUUUACAACAGCUGAUUUUAUAUUUCAGUAUGAGAAAACAGAUAGCAAGCUCAAGGUUUUAUUGUUAAUAUUUUCAGACCUGCAAACAAACAAACAAAAAAAAAUCAAUUAAAGAGACCUCCUAAACUGCAAAGAGCAGUUUCUUAUAUUUUCUUAUAUACUCAGAUUCUUGCUAGGAAUCUGUUUGUAACCUUCUGGUCCUCAGAAAAUGCUUUCUUUCUCAGUAAGACUACCUAUGGUCAGGAUAUAUGUUAAAAACGUAGGAAGUACUGUUUUCCUUCUUAUUUUUGCCUGAGUGGCAGAGUAAAAAUCUGAGAAUCUUUUCUCUUCAAAAGAUGUAUCUUUUUAUUUCUCUCUGCUUCUUUCAUGCUGCUUGCUCAGUCUGUUACACAUAGGAGACAACCGUGGUUCAUCCUGAAUUAUUUCUUGGCACUUGCAUUCAUAAGGCAUCUGUUUUUCAACACACAGUGGAUUGUCUUUACAUUUAUGCUGAACAACUUGGGCAACAGUUGUAGCGUAAAUGCUGCAGGCUCUUGAUUUCUGUCCUUAAGGGAAUGCUUCUUAUAUACAUAGUGCAGGGACACACGUAGUCUUCUGACUUCAAAAUGCUUGGAACAAGCCAGGAGUCUCUGGGGCAUAAAGGAAAAAGUCUAGCUCAGAUUUUCUCUCUUCCAGGAAAUGUGCUCAAAGGAAAGGCUGAAAGGUGGAUGCUUCAGAAAGCAGGAAUGUUUCUGGGGAAACACAACAAUCUCAGGAUUUCCAACACUAGGGACUCUUUUUUUUUUUUUAACACUGUUUUUAUUAUUUUAUGAUUAGUACUUUGCUGAGAAAAAGAUUUUUUUCUGACUCAACUUGACAAUUUGCAAGCUGUCUCCAGAGCAGAUCACACAUGCUAUGACAAGAUAGAUUUCAUAGUGUACUGAAUCAACUUCUCCUGCAAGAUAAAAAAUGACCUAUGGUAUGAGUGAUAUGCAUGUAUAAAGAGGCAAACUAAAAGAUGAGGAUUUCUAUACAACUUUUUCUUAUUGAUAUCAGCAUCUAGGUCAAUUUUAAAAGUGUUUUUGUAUCGAACAAGAUUCCAGUCUUGAGUGGUUGCAACAAUUUUUCACCCCAUUUUGAAGACCAAAGUAAUUGUAGAAGUUUUUCGUUUAGCAGGAUUGGAAAUGAAAUCAUGUCUCUGUUAGGGCAGAGCAAAGCUGUUGGAACCUUGUAAAGUCCUUCAAUGAGCAUGGAUCAAGUUUAUACAGUUGACUAUUGCUUCUUUUUUCCACUGUUGUAAAUAUUACAUUAAAUUUCCUUCUGAGAUUCAGAGAGUCUAGCGGUGGUAUCAGUUAUGUUAUAGCAAUUUGAGCAGUAUGAUGAGACACUGUGCCUUUCAUCAACAACAGAAUUCCAUUGGAAAGGUUUUAGACCCUGAAGAAGUCAUUAUGAACUUAAUAAUAAACUCUCUCUACUGAAAUUAUGGAUGAAGGUGAAUAUUUAAAUAUCUGUUUGAAUAAAGAUAGUAUUUUUUGUUUACUAGCCAAACAAGGAAGUUUUCUUGCACCACAGGAGACCAUUUUAUGAGAUGUACAAGGAUCCAGCUGGUAUUCAGGAAUUUUACAAUGAGAUUUCUAAACAGAAAAGUUAAGUCGGGAAAGGAGUGAAGUUCCUACCAUCUAAAAACCUAGGCUUUUUCAUUUCAAACCAGCUAUCCCUGCUAGCUUCAUGUCAUACGUAUAUCUAAAACUAAGCAAAAGCAGGGAGAAAGGGACCUAUUCCCUUAACUCCACUGUAUUUCACUGCACAGAGGGGUAUGAAGAGCAAGUGUAAAUGUUGUUGAUCAUUUGGCCCUUUUCUAGUUUUAAGGGAAAAGUGAAUAGAGCUGGCAUUUUACCCUCAGUAUUUUACCAAAGUCCAUGCAGUAAGAAAGGGAAAUUUCUGCUCACUUACCCACCAGAGCCAGGUAGUGCUUUUACCUGGGAAAGUUGGUUCCCAAUGGACUUCUUGAAGAGUUCAGCUUUUGUGGGUUUUGAUUUGGGGGUACAAUUUUGGUACUCAAAACCAUGCCUGUUUUUAUGUCCUACCAAAUAUUUUGUCUCCUGCUUAUUUCCACUCACAUCAGCAAACCCUGUACAGCUAGCAAUAUGAAUUGAGCCUCAUCAGCAAAGUAGUUAACAAGUUUUAAUGACCGUCUCUAUUACUGGUCAUUGCCAGUAAUAUCAAGAAAGCAAUAGGGUACAGGACUUAUGAUCACUUUUCAGGGUUGAAAUCACUGAGGUACUGUAAUGUGACACUGUGAAGUAUCAUUUCACAGAGAUACACUUCAGAGUACAACUGCUCUUUAAUUCCCAUAUGCAUAACUCUGAGCUAAUUAAAUUACCUUUUUUCCCCUACUGUUCUUUUGUGCAAUUGAAUAAAAGACAAGGAAAAAAGAGAAUUUACUGGAGUUAUUGAAAGCUGUGUUAUUGUUAAGAUUUGUAGCCUCUUGAAAGACUCUAAAGUGCUUUGACUCCAACAGAAGAAAGUACAGGUGCGAAGCAGACAUUUUGAGGGAAAUCAUCAUACACAGUUCAGAAGGGUUUUAGAAAAAAGCAAAGAAAAUCUAUUCUUUAGGUCUUUAACUCUGACACCAGCAGGAUGAAGAAGUUUUAAAUUAAGCUGUUUCCCAUGUAACUGAUAGGGUUUAAGUAUUGAAACUAGCCGUGUCCUAACCAGGGAAACUGCAAGAGGAAAAGGGAGGCUGGAGCAGCAGUGCUGAAACUGAAAUUAAUGCGAGAGCUUAUCAAUGAGAGUCAUCUAUGUGAGAUGACGCAUGUGAGAGUCAUAUAUGGACUUUUGUUACCAUCUGUUUGUUUUUAAAUACUGUUAUUAAUAGGAGUAUUUAACAUAUACCACUGUCAAAAUGCUAUCUCAGAAGUUAUUAUUCAUAGCAUUCUGUAGAAAGCAUAAAGAAAUCUGAUGAAUAUCUCUUAUGAAAAAUAUUUCAAGUCCAACGAUUUGUACCACAACUUGAUGGAGACUGCAGUGUUUUACUGAAUUCUGAACUGAUUGACAGAAUCUGUGAAACUGUUCAUUGGGUCAUGAAGUAUUAUUGAGAUUAUCUUCAUUAUCUGUUCUCUGGUAGUUUUACUUCUUAAUUUAGUAUAUGAAUUUUACUUUACUCAGGGUGUAUUGUGCACCCUGUAGAUAUAAUGCAUAUUACUAUGUUUCAUAUAUAUGUAUAAUUCCAUAAAAUUAUCAGUAUAUACUAGAUAAAAUAUAGAAUAUAAAAGUAUAUUAAAAAGCCUCCAAAUGAGCCUCCAAACUUUUUAAUCAUUCAGAUUUUGGCCUACCUGCUUCAAAAAAAAAACACAUUCCCUCCAACCCUGUGAUUUUGUUGCAGGCAAAGUAAUAUGGUGCAUCUAUGUCAUUACAAGGGAUUAGUGAGAAAAGAUGCUGUAAGUUUCUGUAGAAUAGCAAAGAACAUUGGGCACAGGCUGGUUAUCUAUUCUAAAGUAAGUCCACAGUAAAAUCUGCAGUACUUCAACUCUUCAGGUUUGGAUAGAAGUGUCACUGAUGCAUCACUCAUCCUAUUAUAAAACUAAAAUGAGGUUAUUCACAAUCUCUUUCCACUGAAACUGUAGAUUAAUUUCCAAGACUCAUAGUAUUGUUUGCUAUAAAUUGUAUAGGGAAAUAGAAAUACGUUUUAACAUUCAGUUCUACUGCAAUACAAGGUGAAGUAAUUGUGUGCCCAAAAAAGCCCCUGUCAGAUGAGUGCCUGUGAGACAAGUGUACUAGUGGCUGCACAUUUAUACAUGAGUUUCUUGGAUUUCACCUCAGACACUCAUCUGUUAAAGAUGGUCUGAAAGAGUCAAAUGUCAGUGCAAAAUUUAAAGUUGAUCUAUGUCUUCAUGCCAUUUAAGAAAGAAAGUCUUAAUCUGUCUCCCAGCUGAAUACAAAAAGAGUGGCUUACCUUUGUUUUUACAGGAUGAAGAAAUUAAAAAAUGUUUUAAGACCAAACUCUCAUACAUGCCUUAAACUAAAAAAGCAAAUUUUAAAACUAAAAUUUUAAACAAAGAACAAAUAUGUUUGUCAGACUCCUAAAACCCAGGUUUCUCCAGUAGUACUUUCAGAAGUAGCAUUCCCUUUGUUGAAAUGUGUAUGGUUGGCCUGUGGCUGCAAAUGCUUUGAGGAGAAAGAUGGAUUUUUCAGGACAGCCAAACACAAAAAAAUUAUUGUUAUGUGUGCAUGAGUUAACAACUUUGAUUCAGAUUAGGAUGUCUUCAUAAGGGCUUCAUGCCAUCUGCUUAGUGAUUAUACUUUGGAAGUUAAGGCAUGGUUAGUCUGAGAUAGUAACAUUAGUUUUCUGAAAAUCAUAAAUCCUAGAAUAAAGAAAAUGUGAUACCUAGUCCUUGGAAGACAUUAAAAGUAUUCAUUAGUUAAUGUAUAUAUUACUUGCUGUACUUACUAAUAAAGUGUCUUCAUUAAGGAUCCUCAGGUCAGUACUCUCAUAAAUACACUAAUAAUUAGUGAAAACAAGCCUGGGGGCUUAUUUUCAGAGAACUAAGACAACAAAAUGAGACUGAGGCAGUGGCAGAACAUAGCAAAUUGGUUGGUCAAAAACCAGGUGGUCGCGGUGAACAGUUUUCCAGAAAACUGACACAGAGCUGUAUAUAAUUUGGCAGUAGCAGAAGAGAAAUUCAUUGUGGCUGGAAGGAUUAUGGAGAAAUAUGAAGUCUGAGAGCAAAUGCCUGAAUGUUGUAUUGGAAUCGUUUCCAUGUCUUACACGGUACUGUCCUCCUACUUUCAGGUAAUAAUGUCCUAUUGUGUUAUAGAGAAGAUUAGGAUCCAGCAGCAGGCCAUUCUGAUGGCCUGGUUUGGCAUGCAAGUCUCAGUGGGACAUAGGACAUACCCCGUGCAUGAAUAAAUUCCUAAAGCCAUUUCUGAGAGUGAAUCUCAUCCUGGUAUUUUAUGCUUAUUCCCAAAUAUGUCAGACUACUUUGUUCAGAAAUACGCCACUUAAUCUAAUUGAUUCUAUUGCUAGAAUGGAUGGUAGAAAUGAUGCUGAAGACCUUUUGGAUAUAGUCUUGGACUGGGAAGGAGUAAGAGAGGAAAAGAGUAGAGGAGUAUGAUAGUAGAAGGUGGUAGGGAAGUUUGAGCUGAGAUGAAGAAAAUGCAUUUUGAAAGAAUUAAGAGAACGAGGUGCAGGGAGACCCUCAGUUGCUGGUGUGUGCUGCUGCUGAGGAACAGGCACUGUUUUGCAGAGAGAGGGAAAGUAUUUGAAAAUAGAAAGAUCUGGGUAAUGAGAGAUAUAGGUUAGUAAAUAUGGGCAAAGCGUUCUGUGGAAAUGCCCUUAUUCUUUCUUACAGCUACUAAGGUCAUAAAAUGCAAGAUCUCUACUUGAAUAAGUGCUUUCUAGUUCCAAGUUUAAUGAUAUUCACUUUAGAUAGAAGGGCAAGGUAAGGACAACCUCAUCUCAAUCACUGGAAAGGUGAUAUAGCAAAUAGCCUUGGAAUACAUUUCAAGAAAUGUGAAGGACAAAAAAAAAGGGACUGGGAGUAAUCAUCAUCGGUUUAUGAAGGAGGAAUGAUGCCUGGACAACCUGAUGACACCUGGUGACUGGUGUGUUGGAUGGGUGAACAGCAGUGAAUGUAGUUUAUCUUGACUUCAAUGCUUUCAACUGUCUCUUCUGUAAAAUUCUCAUAGACAAACUGAUGAAACAGAAACUAGAUAAAAGAACAGUGAGGUGGACUGAAAACUUGCUGAAAUGCCAGGCUGAUAGGAUUAUGGUCAGUGGCAGAGUCCAGUUGCAGGCAAGUUGAUUGUGGUGUGCCCCACGGCUUGAUAAUUUGGCUGGUUCUUUUUAAUGUUUUUGUUAAUUAGCUGGACAAUAGGACAGACUGCACCCACAGUAAAUUAGCGGAUGAUACAAAACUCAGAAGAAUUGUUGACACACCAGACAGUUGUGCUGCUGUACAGCAGGCUGAAGAAGUGGGAUGACAGGACUCACAAGAAAUUCAACAAAGGGAAAUGCAAAGUCCUGCGCUCGGGGAGAAGUAAUUCCAUGCACUAGUGCACACUAGGAGCUGACCAGCUGGAAAGCAGCUCCUCUCUGGUGGACAAGUUUACCAGGAACAAAAAAAAGCCAACCAACUCCUCAGCUACUUUAGGAAGAUCAUGACCAACAGGACAAGAGGUAAUGGGUGAAAAGUGAAACACAGGAGAGUCCAUCCAAACAUAAGAAAAAAAGCUUUCAAUGUGAGGAUGACCGAGCCCUGACACAGGUCAACCGGAGAGGUUGUGAAGUCUCCCACCGUGUGUACUCAGAACCUAACUGGACAUGGUCCUGAGCAACAUGCUCCAGCUGAUCUGGCUUCAAGCAAGGAGGGGUUGGAGAAAGAUGAUCUCCAGAAAUGCCUUCCAACCCCAAACUUUCUGUGAUUCUGGGAUCCUCCUCAUCUACGUGGGCCUGGGAAAUACAUGUACACUGGAGUCUCCUCUCUGUCUGCCAGUGACAAAUCUUAAUUACGGUUUUCAUUUCUAUGUUCUCAGAUCCUGUUUAUAAAUUUGGAAUGUCUUUAGCUGGCACUGAAACACAUAAUUUUAAACUACAUGGCAAGAUUUUAAUGUUCCUGGUAUUUGACACAUAAGUGUCAAAUGCUUUUUAUUUAAUUCCAAAACAUAAUGUAUUAAGGCAACAUGCCCCUAGAAAACAACCUGACUGUUGAGAUACUUAAAGAUGCUGAAAAUGCUCAAGAAGAAAAUUAGUGAAGCAUUCAGUGACAUUUUAGAUCAAACAAAUUUUUUUAUGUGUGUCUUUGUGAUAAUUGUAUUUUCUUCUAGAAUAGUUUUUCUAUGACAAUCUGAUUGUAAACUUAGUGUGCUUAGUGUGCUUAGUGCUUCUUAAAUUCUAAAAUCUGUCUUCCAGAAGAAAGUUAUCCUUUGCAGAACGUGGAUAUUUGCAAAUAUUAUUUUAUUCAUUCUGGAAAAAUAUUUCCUUGUUCUACUUACUUAUAUAUUUUUCAUAUUGAAUAUGUACUAUCUGUUUGAUGUGCAGACUAUUUCUUCUGGAUGUUCAGUUCAUGCAAUUUGUGUUAAGCAUCUGUUGCAUUACUACUGUCAAUAUGUCACUUUGUGCUUUUCAUCGUUUCACAGGGAAAGACUGUGCUAAUUCACAUCUCCUUCAUAUCACUCCCUUGUAUCUGAAGACAGUAACCCCUUCAGCCCACCUGCUAAGCAGAGCAUAAGCACAUACUAAGAUAGGCAACACUGGAGAUGGAGUCUUUUUCACUUGUUUUUGUGUGAAGUAGAAAGACAGUGAAGGCAGGGUAACUGGACAAAGCUGCUCUGUCAGAUGGGAACAUUUCACCUGUCAGUAGGACAUUGGUCCUAUUCCUGCCUUGGUUGCUUAGUUUCUCUAAGGUGCCAAGGUUGCCACCUUACUUGCCUGCAACUUGUUCCACUUUUAAUACUGGGAUUUUGGCACUUGAAGUGAACAUCACAACCAUUCAAAUAAAAGCACUAGUAAACUUCAGUUUACGUGAAAAAGAAGUGGCUCCAUGAAAUACUUUUUUUCUUCUAAAUACUUUCUUCUCAGAGCAGAGCAGGCAUCUUCAUCUCAUUGAAUGGAGGUUUUGUUUUCAUUUCUGAAACACUAAAACUUAAAGUUUUGAUUUUUUUUCCUAUUUCUCCAUUUCUUUCCAUCAUUUAAUGCAUUUGACCAAAAAGGCAUCUGUUGGUUUGUAUUUCUUCUUCUACCUAGUUACUUUGUGAGACAUUUUCACUGAAUUUCCCUUUCAUUUGCUGCAACUAUUUAAAAUGUUUAUUUUUGUCAUAUGGGUGAACUCAAUCAAUUAUGAAAUGAGGAAAAACAAGGAGACUGAUGAUCAGGAUAAUUUGGGCAGCUAACAAAGACUUUUCAGGAGAUGCAGAGGUAGUUAGUGUACCACACUGAAAGAAGGACAUAACUCUGGGCCUGAAUUAGUGUGAACAGGGGUGAGGCACUCCAGUAAAAAACAGACAUCAAGAUCUUGAUGAAGCAGAUGUCUACAUGCCUCCUUUAAGAAUAAAAAAUGAAAAAAUAAAAAAAAAUCCUGGUAAUUUAAAGUUUCAUAACACUGGAGAUAGCAAUGGUACAAAUGUAAACAUUGUGCUUGACGACUCCUAUUUAUGCCACCAGCCAUUUGCCAUCCUUCCUCCCCAUGUACCUCCCAGCUCCAAAGUCACUGCUUUGCAGUAGGCUGUUGUUUGAUGUUCUUUCCCUUCCCUGUCCACUGCCCCAACCCAACUGGUAAAAUCUUGUUUGUUCCUCCAUCUUGCCUGUCUCUCUUAGGCUUAGCUUGUCAAGCAGGAAUUGAGAGUACGUCUUGAGCUAUGUUUCCACAUUUCUAUCCUGUUGCUGGACACACACCAUCAUCUCACAAGCUACACACUCAUACUCUUUUGUUAAAAGCUAUCACCACUAUUAAUAUCACCAGUGUUUGCUUUGCCUCAUCCUCAAAUGCAUUUUUGAAAAGGAACACACUUGUUAUACAUGGUGGAGAGGAAAGGUUUUAAGCUGGGUCAAUACGUAAAUCCUGUUAAAAGCACAGCCACACAAACUAUCAGACUGGUGGGGUACUGGGUGAGACAACCUCUGCAGGACAGUGGGAGGUGGUGACUUCCCAAGCGGGUCUGCUGUUGCCAACAAAUAUCAUGCAGCCCCAGGCAGUGAGCUUGUUCAGGAAUAUGCUGGAGUGCAAGGGAAGGAAUAAAGAAGGGGAAAGAAGGAACCAGUAGGAAGUGUUGGAGUGAUGUGAAAUGAGGCACAGCACAAAGAGACUUGUCAAAAAGCACUACAUGCCUCAGAAAGCAUAACCAAUUAUAAUACUGCAGAUUUUAAUGGUGUUAUUAGAUGAGACCAUGAGGGACUAAGCCAGAGAAACUGGUUUGCUGCAUGGGCCAGGUAACUUUUCUUCUGUCCUUCUGUUUCCGAUUUUUCAAAGCCACUUUGGCUACUUUUUUAGUGAUAUAGCUCAUUCCUCAUAAAGCACGUGAAGUUUUUCCUAGUAUUCCUUCACGAUGGGAUGAAUGUAAGCAGCUUUCGAUUUGAAAAAAUAAAAGGAAUCAGUUAGUUAGUAUUAAUUAGAGGCUUAAAAAUGAUGUUGUUUCUGCCCCAUGCUUUAAUGCGUCUAGAAAUUUCUGUUUGCCAUAGCAUGUAGUUCAAUGAUUUCCAUUUGAAACUCAGAGAGUUUAUUUCAUCAGACAUGUUCCCCCUGCUUUUUGUUUUUGAUGUCUCACUGAAAUCUUUUGGGGAAGAACAGCCCAGGAGGAAAGAAUAGAGCUGUAGCAGCUUGAAGUGCAGACAUACUGAAGUAAUUUAUCUGAAAACUGUCUCCUGAUUUGUCAGGAUGGCCUUUUGCUUCAAUGUUAAUAACACUUCUCUGUUGGCAGUUGCUGUAAGAUGGUAAAUGAAGGUCAACUAAUUACUAUAGCCGCUAUUUUAUUUACUGAGCCUGUUCCUAGAAAACAUUUUUGACAGAAUUCAGGGAUAAUUGAAUGCUUCAUGUAAAUACAUUUUUGGGGAGAAGAGGUUAUGUGUGUAACUGAUUUUUUUCAAGUUUUCUAUCUUUUUAUUUGUUUAAUUUUGCUGAACCAGUAUUUUUCAGUCUUUUUUGACCAAUCAAAUUGUAAAAAAUGCAGUAGCAGACUCAGCAGGACAGAUUUACCACUAGGAUUAAACUGAUUUCUUACUUACCCUUUGCAACUCCCUUAUAAAUCUCUGUGGAUUUUCAGAUUGAUCUGUGGAUCAUAAUUUGAAAGUCACAAUGGCAAAGAGAAUACAGCUUCUUUUGAUGGUAUAUAGUUUAAAUACAGUGCUUUCAUCAGAAGGCACAUUAUUGCCCUCCUUACUGUCUGUGUAGUCUUGUAGAAUAUUAACUUUAGGAGCCAGGUACUUAGCUGAAAUCCUGCAAGCAUUUAAUCUUCGUUUCAACAUCGGAGCUCAGUUGCAUAAUCACUUAUAACAAAUUAUCCACAAAAUACCUCGGAUUACUCUUUAGAGCUCUAAUACUCAACCUGAAACCUCAUAAAUUUUGACUUUUAGGAGUAUUCCCCUGACAAACCUUAAAUAAAUAGAAUAAAUAAAUAAAUAGUUUUUUAGCAGCUUUAAAUGAAGAUUCAUCAUAAAAAAUAAAUAUACAGUACUCCAAACUCCAUUUCAGUGACUGCUAGCAUUUCAGUGACAUCAGACUGCUUUGGCAUGAACUAAAGCAGUCCAGUGUUUCAGGAAAGAUGUUUAAGUAUCUUAGAGUACCAGUUCGGUAUUUUUAUAUCUUGGUAAGGCUGGCUGAGAAGCAUAGCUUCUGGAAGAUGUUGUUUUGACUUUGCUUAUAAUUUGGUUUUGUUCUGAAUUAGAUCUGCUUCAUCUGUUAUGAGAAUCCAUGUAAAUUAGGAGUUGUAACCAACACUCAAUACCCCACUUAUGCCUCCAAUCUUUCAGAUAAGUAUUUGGGACCUAUAUUAGUGUACAGGUCUUUGGCGUUUACUAAUAUCUGACAAAUGAUUGGACUUCUCCUCAUCUGUAUUUGUUUCACCCAGCAUAAAAUGUGUUAAAAACUCUACUAGUUCAGAAGAGCUGACAGCCUCGAUGCAGUGAUGAAAGCAAGAGCAGCAGCUAUGUGUGACCAGAGGAGUAGCUCCCUGCUUCUGCCAGCCCAGCACUAUUCAUGGGUCUUAGACGGAGAUCCCCACAGUCACCUCCCUGCCACAGCCCAUUGAAGCGGCAUUUGCUAGCUAGCGUGUGAAUAGCUCACCCUCUUCACAUAUAGCUGUUCUGUCAAAAAAAAAUAUGUUAUUUCCCCUCAGCUUCUUGCUGCCACUCACCUGGCAGAAAUUACUGCCCCUACACAAACAGUAUAGCUACCAGAAGUGUCCAGACAUUGAUUUCUAAUGAAUUCACUGAGGGAGCUAAGGUAGUCUAUGAAGAUGAUUGGGGCAAACCUGACUGCCAGGUCAGUGGGCAGUGGGGAGCAGCAGCAGGAGGUAAUAAUAUAUAACAUUAUUAAACUUGGAAGAUGUUUGGCCAUGUCUUUUGAGCGCUUCAGUACUGCAAUAAGACAGGAGUAAUUUCCAAAAGAGCAAAACCUCAGAGCUCAAUGGGAUUUGUUAGAUCAAAGGGUGGAAUUCAUCAAUUUCCAUCAUAUUCCUCAACAAUAUUAAAUCACUAUGAUUUUUUUUUUGACUUGCCACUGUGGCCUAUCAAAUAAAACAGCCUUACUUUUCUGUGCAGUUUGCCAACUUGCUUCCCAUUUUCUCCACCAAUUAUUAAUACAUAUUCUAAUACUAGGUGCCAUGGAGUCUGAACUCUCCAUUAACCUCUCUCCCCUCAGAGAAUAAUUUGUUCUCAAAUCCUUUGUAGAUUUAAUCUAUGAAAACAUCUAAAUUUCCAUCAGAUUUUCUAGGAUGAAAAUGGGUUUUCUUUCAUUGUAAAAAGUACAAGGAUCAGGUUGGACUUUCUCUAGUAAAAUCUGUAAGAACAGGCACUGCAUGGUGAUUUUCCUGUCUUCAGUAAGAGUAGUUGAGAUGAUCCCCUCUUCUUAGAGUUACUUAGUUGGAUCAUCCUAAAAAUUCCCUUCAGCACAUAAAUAACUUCCCAGUAACAUGAUCAGUGUCUUUAAAGAAGCGGAAAAAUCACCAGCCUCUAUGAGGUGUGCUGGGUUUUAUGCCCAAGAAUUGAGGUUGGCUUGUGAGAGCACUUGUUUUGACCUGGCACUUUUACCUAUCUGUAUAUCCAGGGCAUGAGCCCCAUCCAUAGGUAGUACGUAAAGUGGAGGUGACCUAGCAGUGACUCUGAUGAGUUCAGCAAAAUGUCUGGAGACAGUCUGAAUCUUGUCCAUGAUAGCUUGGAUUUUUUUUUCUCUCACCCUGUCUCUAAAGUGGCUACAGAUUUUUGAGAGGUCACCAGAAAAAAAAAAAAAAA
Anas platyrhynchos (mallard) is the source of this 17325-nucleotide non-coding RNA. The record is from RefSeq and is a predicted model, not a curated record. NCBI's taxonomy places the organism in Eukaryota, Metazoa, Chordata, Aves, Anseriformes, Anatidae.